This 429-nucleotide ribosomal RNA is filed under the name Bacteroidota bacterium. Its description in RNAcentral is "Bacteroidetes bacterium partial 16S ribosomal RNA". It matches the Rfam family "Bacterial small subunit ribosomal RNA", at positions 355 to 776 of the family's 1533-position model. The record is from RNAcentral. Lineage: Bacteria; Pseudomonadati; Bacteroidota.
UAGGGAAUCUUCGGCAAUGGGGGGAACCCUGACCGAGCAACGCCGCGUGAGUGAAGAAGGUUUUCGGAUCGUAAAGCUCUGUUGUUAAGGAAGAACGAGUGUGAGAAUGGAAAGUUCAUGCUGUGACGGUACUUAACCAGAAAGGGACGGCUAACUACGUGCCAGCAGCCGCGGUAAUACGUAGGUCCCGAGCGUUGUACGGAGUUGUUGGGCGUAAAGCGAGCGCAGGCGGUUAGAUAAGUCUGAAGUUAAAGGAAGUGGCUCAACCAUUGUAGGCUUUGGAGACAGAUUAACUUGAGUGCAGAAGGGGAGGGUGGAAUUCCAGGUGUAGCGGUGAAAUGCGUAGAUAUAGGGAGGAACACCGGUGGCGAAAGCGGCUCUCUGGUCUGUAACUGACGCUGAGGCUAGAAAGCGUGGGGAGCGAACAGG